AAAAAGCUCGUAGUUGAAUCUGUGUCCCACACUGUCGGUUCACCGCUCGCGGUGUUCAACUGGCAUGUCUGUGGGACGUCCUACCGGUGGGCUUAGCCCGUCAAAAGGCGGCCCAACUCAAAAUCCUACCACGGUGCUCUUCACCGAGUGUCGAGGUGGGCCGGUACGUUUACUUUGAACAAAUUAGAGUGCUUAAAGCAGGCUCAUUCGCCUGAAUAUUGUGUGCAUGGAAUAAUGGAAUAGGACCUCGGUUCUAUUUUGUUGGUUUUCGGAAUUCCGAGGUAAUGAUUAAUAGGGACAACUGGGGGCAUUCGUAUUGCGACGUUAGAGGUGAAAUUCUUGGAUCGUCGCAAGACGGACAGAAGCGAAAGAAAUGUGUUUUCAUCAAUCAAGAACGAAAGUUAGAGGUUCGAAGGCGAUCAGAUACCGCCCUAGUUCUAACCAUAAACGAUGCCAGCUAGCGAUCCGCCGAAGUUCCUCCGAUGACUCGGCGGGCAGCUUCCGGGAAACCAAAGCUUUUGGGUU
Molecule: ribosomal RNA, 525 nt
Filed under: Ctenocephalides felis damarensis
Lineage: Eukaryota; Metazoa; Arthropoda; Insecta; Siphonaptera; Pulicidae
Description: SSU rRNA
Rfam family: Eukaryotic small subunit ribosomal RNA
Source: RNAcentral